GGGGUUGUGGCUCAGAGGUAGAGCACUCACCUUACAUGUGAGAGGCACCGGGUUCCAUACUCAGCACCA
RNAcentral lists this transfer RNA (69 nucleotides) under Marmota monax (woodchuck). It matches the Rfam family "tRNA". From Rfam's summary of the family: Transfer RNA (tRNA) molecules are approximately 80 nucleotides in length. Their secondary structure includes four short double-helical elements and three loops (D, anti-codon, and T loops). Lineage: Eukaryota; Metazoa; Chordata; Mammalia; Rodentia; Sciuridae. The record is from Rfam by way of RNAcentral.